Molecule: ribosomal RNA, 674 nt
Filed under: Staphylococcus aureus
Lineage: Bacteria; Bacillati; Bacillota; Bacilli; Caryophanales; Staphylococcaceae
Description: partial 23S ribosomal RNA
Rfam family: Bacterial large subunit ribosomal RNA
Source: RNAcentral
CUGUGAUGGGGAGAAGACAUUGUGUCUUCGAGUCGUUGAUUUCACACUGCCGAGAAAAGCCUCUAGAUAGAAAAUAGGUGCCCGUACCGCAAACCGACACAGGUAGUCAAGAUGAGAAUUCUAAGGUGAGCGAGCGAACUCUCGUUAAGGAACUCGGCAAAAUGACCCCGUAACUUCGGGAGAAGGGGUGCUCUUUAGGGUUAACGCCCAGAAGAGCCGCAGUGAAUAGGCCCAAGCGACUGUUUAUCAAAAACACAGGUCUCUGCUAAACCGUAAGGUGAUGUAUAGGGGCUGACGCCUGCCCGGUGCUGGAAGGUUAAGAGGAGUGGUUAGCUUCUGCGAAGCUACGAAUCGAAGCCCCAGUAAACGGCGGCCGUAACUAUAACGGUCCUAAGGUAGCGAAAUUCCUUGUCGGGUAAGUUCCGACCCGCACGAAAGGCGUAACGAUUUGGGCACUGUCUCAACGAGAGACUCGGUGAAAUCAUAGUACCUGUGAAGAUGCAGGUUACCCGCGACAGGACGGAAAGACCCCGUGGAGCUUUACUGUAGCCUGAUAUUGAAAUUCGGCACAGCUUGUACAGGAUAGGUAGGAGCCUUUGAAACGUGAGCGCUAGCUUACGUGGAGGCGCUGGUGGGAUACUACCCUAGCUGUGUUGGCUUUCUAACCCGCACCA